RNAcentral lists this ribosomal RNA (223 nucleotides) under uncultured bacterium. Its description in RNAcentral is "partial 16S ribosomal RNA". It matches the Rfam family "Bacterial small subunit ribosomal RNA", at positions 585 to 810 of the family's 1533-position model. The record is from RNAcentral.
AAGUCAGAUGUGAAAGCCUUCUGUUCAACGGAAGAACUGCAUCUAAAACUGCAAACCUUGAGUACAGGAGGGGAGAGUGGAACUUCUGGUGGAGCGGUGAAAUGCGUAGAUAUCAGAAGGAACGCCGGCGGAAAGGAUUCUCUGGCCUAUUACUGACACUGAGUGUGCGAAAGUAGGGGAGCAAACGGGAUUAGAUACCCCGGUAGUCCUAGCCGUAAACGAU